CUCUUAAAUUUCUUAAUUUUACAUUGAAAAUGAUUCCAGAAUUGUAUUAAGAUCUUCAUCUUCCCAUACUGUGAGCUAAAAUGUUUGAUAUCAUUAUUUCUAAUACCAAGUUAUCCUAGGUUUUUCCCUUAUGUUAUAAAUGUGAUCAAAUUUUUAUUUAAUUAAUUAAGGGAAAUGACCAAAAAAAUUCGUAACUUUGCUUUUUUUAACAAUUGUAUCCCAAACUAUUUUUUUUAAUAAUUGUACCCCAAACUAUAUAUAUAUAAUUUUUUUUUAACAAUUCUACCCUGAACGUUAGACUUUAGUUCAAUUAAAACCCCACCGUUAAAAUUCCCAUUAAAUCUAACUGGAAGCACUACUAAUCAAAUUAACUCUAAUUGAACUUAAAUUAUUAUAAAUUAAACCCCAAUUAAAAAAUUAAUUAAUAUGAGUAUAAAAAUUGGCCAUUGCAGUGCCAGUUGCAAAGAAGAGCCCAUAAGAGCAAUCCAAGGGAAAGAAAAGAUGUUGAGGAAGAGG
Molecule: unclassified non-coding RNA, 516 nt
Filed under: Hevea brasiliensis (rubber tree)
Lineage: Eukaryota; Viridiplantae; Streptophyta; Magnoliopsida; Malpighiales; Euphorbiaceae
Source: RNAcentral